This 956-nucleotide long non-coding RNA is filed under the name Gallus gallus (chicken). Its description in RNAcentral is "lncRNA (ENSGALG00010027761.1)". Lineage: Eukaryota; Metazoa; Chordata; Aves; Galliformes; Phasianidae. The record is from RNAcentral.
CAGAGGGAGCAGCGAAGAACCUGCUUAGAAGUUGACCUUCUCCUGCUAAACCUUUGCCCCCUCCCAGCGUGGCCAUCGCUGCGGGAUGGGGGCAUUGCUGAGCACCCCCAGGGAACAGCCCGGCCCGGCAUCGCUCCGUCCCAUUGCUGUAGCGCUGAAUCAAAGCCCUCUUACAGAGUCAGGGCAGAAGCAGAAUCCGGGGCUGUUCUCAUCCUCAUCCUCUCACUGAUUUUCAAACAAGAAUAAACUCAGCUUUUCCUGUUCAAGCUGCUCUGCCACAGCAGAAAAGAUUUCAGCUUUCUGUCAACCUGAUGGCAAAACGAAGUCGUUCCCUUCCAGGUAACCGCCUCUGAUUGAGAACAUCCGCUCACCAAAGGCUUUCAGUGCUCUGGUGGGGGAAGAAGAAGAGGAGAAAAACCCCCAAACCCGUCCAUACACAGUGCCCCUGCAGCUGCCCCACACACCGUGACCCCAUAGCUGUGGGGUUCUGGUGCUGUCGGUGUGUCUGGCAGAGGUGUGCCUCCAUCCCGCUGCAUCCCACUGCAUCCCACAUCCCUCUGCAUCCCACAUCCCUCUGCCAGGCUCUGCAGCUCCUUCCAAACAAAGAGGGAUCUCUGGGCCGCCCUCCAUCCACCACCUCCCCUCGGUGGAAGCCUGCCCACGUCUUUUUGUGCAAAUCCUUCCCUCUCGGAUGCUAUUUGAUGUCUUCAAAGGGGCUAUUCUUAUGUGGAGAAAAGAGGGCGAGCUCAGGUCUGACAAGGCUCUUCGCUCGCAGCGCAGCUAUUUUUUCACUCGGAAGAGUGCCAGUUUGGGAUUUCAAGACAAAAAAAGAAAUAAAUAAAAUACAUAUAUUCUCUUUUUCACAGGCUGAUAUUUGGGUGAAGAACUCGCAAAGUUGGGACACUGCAUCACCACGGGGAUGGGGAGGGAGGAAGGGGAGUGAGCACAUGGCUCUG